CAAAUGUAUUUUUGUUUAUCAAAGAUUCAAAACCGCAUUUAAAGAGGUGUACAUUAUAAGAAGAAUUAAACUAUGUUAUUAGCAGAUACUUACAGAAGACAUCUGGAAGGAUAGUCUUAUCUUAUGGUCCCCAAUAUAGCUACGCAACCAAAGGAAGAACGUCAGGUUACAAAUGACGGCAGUUGCGGAAAAUGCUAGUAAAUGAGUUCAGUGCUGUCAGAUGAUCCCAAACUGGACACUUUAUCAAAGCUGAUCGCUGAUACAUUCAAAAGCACGUUCAAUAUCGAUGAUGUACGAUGAGCACGCAGAUUUCUUGCACUUUAAAAAUGCCAGAUGAAUGAGAUGCUUUAACUUCGUCUUCACGACAAAUAUAAUGUGUUUCGAGCAAAACCAAAAAUGUGGUAAUCACUAUUGCAUUCAUAUAUCUCAUUAAUGAAUAGGACUGCACUGCAAAACUUUGAAUCUCACAUAUAUCCAUCACAUAAACAUUAUAAACAAAAUAUAGAAUUUAAGAAAUCACAAAUC
RNAcentral lists this long non-coding RNA (525 nucleotides) under Mytilus galloprovincialis (Mediterranean mussel). The record is from RNAcentral. Lineage: Eukaryota; Metazoa; Mollusca; Bivalvia; Mytilida; Mytilidae.